UUAUGCUAUGCAUAUGAAUUAUUAUUUCAUUUCAUCCUUAGGAGGCUCUUACCCCUGUCAGAAGGGUAGAGUAAAAUAUUACCAUAGUCUUUCCUCCAGAAAUUGAUGCCCACAGAGGAUGAACUACUUGCCCAAGAUCAAACAUCAGGGAAAGCUUUAGACCCAGAGAGAUAUGGAAAAACAGAGACUAUCCGAUGAACUGAGGCCCAACAAGGCUCACUCCCUGCAACAUCCAGGGCUUGAGCCAAGACCAACCCCCAAAAGCAAUGGGCAGUGGGAAGCCAAGCAGCAGCGACUUCCAACCCAUUUCAUUCCUGCAGAGCUCAGUUUCCUCUCUGAAGUCUUUAAAGAAGCAAGGGUCAUAGAAGCAGUACCCACUCCCAUCCCAUGCCAGGGCCACAGAGGGAGCCCACCAAGGCUACAGAAAGAUUCUGUUAUCCCCUCAGAUCCACAGGGAUACCAAGAACACAACAGGGUCAAAGAAGCAGCUUCCAGUCCCGGAAGGGCCACAGAGGGUAGAUACACCAGAGCACUCUAGUUCUCCCCUCUGGAAGCUUUCCACCUUUCUUGGUUCCCAUGGAGAGACAGCCGCUGCUCCAGGACCUGAACAUGGCACUGCCGGUUAGCAUGUGACUUUUCUUUCUGAUCCUGGGCAAGUGACAACUUUUCAGGGUCACAGUACCCCCAUACUAGAUAGGAGCGUGGAUCCCUCAUUGUAUCUCUUUGCUCACACCCGCUUCCAUAUCUGCAUGAAGUUGGCUAGAAGGUCCUGGGGAUAUCUUACAGCUCCAGAAGCUACACAGACUAUAAUCCAAUUUAUUUCCUCCACUGACACAGAUCUCCAAUUCUGUCAGCCUAAAUAAAUAGUUACAUGUGGUCA
RNAcentral lists this long non-coding RNA (880 nucleotides) under Monodelphis domestica (gray short-tailed opossum). RNAcentral describes it as "lncRNA (ENSMODG00000030369.2)". Lineage: Eukaryota; Metazoa; Chordata; Mammalia; Didelphimorphia; Didelphidae. The record is from RNAcentral.